UGGGAUUGGGUGUACCCAGGCCCGCCUGCCUGCGGCCCAGGUGCGGAGACUGGUUUUUCAGAAAAUAAUUUCCAGAAAACACGUAUUUCCAGAAAAUAAUCACUUGAUAUAGAAUAUCCAAGCAAAAAUACAAAAUCCGGGCUACAAGACAAUGCAGGUCUACUGGUUUGGACAAAACUCUAAGGCUGACGGUAGAAGCGACUCGAGGAAUCUCCAGCGCCCACAAGACUCCAUUCCCACAGGAACAUCAGACGUGGAUAAAUACUUAUUUCACAAUGCUCCUAUCCUUCACUCCUAGAUUUCGGGUUGACGGCAUUGUGCUCCUCUCUGAAAGCAAUCUGGCCAAAACAAUAGCCAUGGACAAGCGAGUAAGUACUUUGAAUGUACCGGCAAAUAUCAAGAAAACAGAUAAGUUGAAGCAGGUGAGAUGCAUGCCUAAUCCACUUAAUAACUAUAUCAUGCCAUAAGAAUUGAUUCACGGAUGUAUUUCAUGCCGAUAAACUAUUUCCACCAAUGUUGUAUAAACGAGCAAGGAAAGGUAAUAAUGAAUAAGUAAUAGCAUGCGUGCCUCAGUCGGGCGUCGGUGCGACACCACCUAAAGGGCUCACAUGCAAGUAAUAAUAGUUGCCACCAUCGGGCGUCUAAGCGACACCACUAAAAGGGCUUAUAUGAAAGAAAUAAUAGUUGCCACAGUCGGGCGUCUAAGCGACACCACGGAAAGGGCUUACAAGACAUAAUAAUGAGGAUGCAACAGUCAGGCGUCUGAGCGACACCACAUAAACGGCUUAUCAGAAAUAAUAACGAGAAUGCCACAGUCGGGCGUCUAAGCGGCACCAGAGAAAGGGCUUAUGUGAAACAAUAAUAAAUAUUGAAUAUCCACGAGGUAGAAACGUCGCACGGAUAUUCAACAUUUAUAAUUGUCAGGGUUAGUCCACAGUAAAAAUAAUAGUACGAUCAUCCACCACAUUUCAUGAUUAGUCUCACGCUUUCGUUAACUUCCUCCGAAGACCGACACUCAGACCGACACUUGACUAGUCAACCAGUCAUCCUUGACCGUGGACACGGCUACUCGAAUAGUUUUUACUAUGCAGAGGGUGUACUCUUUACCCACAGCCCAUGGGUUUCAAUGGUCACUCUGACUAAUCCCGCGUACGGUAUUUUAGAAGUAAACUCUCAGAACUAGUACACACCCAUUUUUUCCCCGGGAAGACUGGCAUCACCCGGGCUGCGCUACCAUGGAAAAAUCAUAAGAUGGGGAGGCUCCAACCUCGACUAGCAUGCGAUCAAAUUUAUACCGCGCGCUACAAGGGCAUGGCCAUUCCUUGUCGGUCCCAGACUAGAAACACCCAUUCCCCCUGGCCGGAUGACUGGAUUAAGUCCAGGGCCAUGGAUACCUUCGUCCCAACAAUAGCGACACCACAGACCGGAAACACCCAUUAUGACCUACUAGAGUGUAUUCCCUUUCAGAAAGACCUUUGGCAGCACGGAAGCUAAGGUCACACACAGAAAAGACUCAAUCUAUGGUGGACUUAGGAGGAUUAAGAUUUUCUUGCAAGGUUAGUACCACAAAAUCUUGCUGAAACAAUUAAUUCAGUGUCACUACCAUCACAUCCGGUAUGCUCUCACUGACCACUCUCGUCCCACGAGGUAUCGGUCCAUGGUAUCACGUUAUCCACGUGUCGGUGCACUGAAGACUGGGGUCCCCAGAGCCCCGGACUAGUGCGCGGACACCGACAACCCCUCCACAGCGGCAAGGCGCGUCGUUGGAGCAUUGGGCGGAAGCAAGACUCAGAAGCCCACCGAGUAUGGAUUUCAAGCCCCCGGCAAGCACCCGCUUGUUGGGAAUGAAGAAGAGACCCAGGCAGGAGCUCCCUGUCAGGGAGAUGGACAAUGUAAAUGCGAGACUCUCCCACCAAAGAAGAAGGACUGAGCCCUGGCAAGCCAUCCUUGCUAGGAAGAUUGACAAGGCAUCGGCAGGCCAUCACCUCAUUGCCGAGAGGAACAAGAAAAGCCCCCGACAAGGUAACCCUCCCGGGAAGGAAAAGAAGGCCCGAAGAGAGGCGCGGGCCCAGGGCGCCUUCGCGUCCUGUGAACGCCUCCACUGACGAACCCGCCACUGCCGAUGCAUCGACCACGCGUCCACCCGCACGCGAGUGCAACACCCCAAAGUUUCCACGUGUGGGUACGUGUCCAACCCCCUGUGACGAGGCCAGGGAAGUUUGUCGAAGCAUUUAAUGCACCGCAGUAACACUUUGGUGGUCGGUGGGUGCUGUUCCUCUCGUGAACCCACCAUUCUCCCGCUAAGCCACUAUGGUGACCCCUUCGCCUGUAAAAGGAGGCCCGAGGCUCAGUAGAAAGGACUUUUCGCAUUUUGACCAAUCAAAAGGCUAUAAGAGGGACAUAUGUACAGUAAACUAAAACGAAUAACUAAAUACAUGCGGGAGUAGGGUUUUAUGCAUGGGUAAAAAUGACCAUGGCGGGCCCUGACUUUUGGUUCUCCUCUUGCUGCGACCCCUCUCCACGCCAAACCAGCAAAAGGGGACCGUUGAGGUCCCUAUAGGUGUCGAUCCCUUUGACCGACAUCUUUGGCGCGCUAGGUAGGGGGAUCGCCGGAAGGAGGCUGGUGUCAGCGAUGCCCAAAUCCGACGAGCCGUUUGACGGAUCCAUGGAUCUCAGUUCACCGUGGCAUCUUCCCAAAGCGGGAGGAGGUAGUGGCUGCUCUGCCCGCAUGCGAGAGCACAUAGCACCUCCAUGGGUGCUAUGCGAGCGCGGGUGGAAGGAGCGGAAGCCCCAAGCUCUGCAUCGCCUGGCCAACACACCCCCUUCGAACGCUCGUGCUGCUUCCGAGGGUGUGACAAGGGGCCUCGGCCAGGCCUCCGACACUUGCUCCGGCCGUCGCACAUCUCCGGAGUGUUGCAUGGUCGUCGAGGACGCGUCGAGGCCCCAAACCUCCCCUAUACGCGCCCUCUGGCUCGCAUUUCUCGUUCGAGCGUUGUGACGCCAGAAAGAUGCGCUCGGGGACUCCGCCAGCAAAUCUCUUGCAAAAGAGAUGAGAAAGCAAUUCACCCCGUCAUGCCUCUUUACUUCAUAGUGGCCAAAGGCCACCUGCGAGAACCUCAUCGGUAAAGAGGCCGCUGGAGGCAACAUCAGCUUGCCGGGGGUAGGGAUAUUCAUCCCCGGCAGCACCUUCAAAUGUUGCGGCUAGGAAUGCCGCGACGCGCGAGAUAAAUAUAGUGGCAAACUUCUUGCCAGACUCUUGGUAGAUUAGUUGUAUCCUUUUGAAGCAUCGAUGUUUGUAUGAGAAUCCAGCGUGCAUAUGGACCUUGCUAGGAUUAGUGCACUCCGAUUUCGUUUCAAGCUUGGUCAACGACAUGAGCGGCCAAAGAGCGCCAUCAUCUUGUUUCAAACUCGUUCAACGUUUCGGACGGCUACGUAGCACCAUAUUUCACCACGAGCCGCGCUCGACGAUUUAAAUGCUUGCACUGAGUGCGGCAAGGAUUCUUGCCGGUGAUGACCUCCUCCAUUGAGUUUUCUGAGAAUUCGUUCCUCUAAGUUCUCGGGGCAGGAUAAGUCAAGCCGGCAAGCAUCCGGAACGUGCAAAGAAAAAAUCAUACAAAAUAAUAGUCGAAUAAAGGAUGCAUCUAUUCAUUCAUUUGUCUGGAUACAUUUGAUACCACUUACGAAGCAUUGUUGUCCUAACCUAAAGACACUUUCUUUUGACGAGGGACGACCAAUGCGAAGGGGUGAAGUUCAAAAACAUAAAAAGUGGGACAGCCCCCGGCGCAACCCAGGCUGGUCCCUCCUGGACCAGCAUUGUGCAGUGGAGAGCAGCGGCAGAGGACAGGGCGACCGAAGAAGAUGAACGGGUCGGAGCCAAUGGUCGCGCCUCCUCAAAGACGAGGCAUCGAUGCGGGUUCCGACAUGGUGCCCCCGCUAUGUGGGGGAAUGGCGUGAGCAGGCCUCGGCGGCAAGGCCAGCUCGGAGGCCACCCUCCUCGCUCCAGAAUCCGCUGCCCCUCUCGCCCAAUCGCCCUCAAGUCAUGAGCAGAACAUGGAACCGCUCUGAUGCGCCAAUGCAUGCAGGGGCGGGUCCAUCCACGCCCGCAGCUUUUGAGGCCACGAUCGCCACUUGCCCGACCACCGCUGCGCAUGUCCUGCAUGUGGCAGAGGCGGUUUUAGGAAAUAAAGGGGCCACAGCGCGCAGACUGCGCACCCUCCCACUUCGCACGUUCAAUGCGCGACGUGGAGGAUUAAAGCCUAUAACGGCUCGAUUCCGAUAAGCCCGGCGCCCGCGAGUCUGCGGACCGCUUUGGCCUGGCCUAACAACACCUCGCAUGCGUGUGUGACCAGGCUCGGGGGCUCCUGUCAGUGCACUAAAGACUAGGGUCUCUAGUGCCCCGGAGUAGUGCGCGGAAAACGGCAGCCCCCUUCGCAGCGGCAAGGCACGUCGCUGGAGCAUAGAGCAUAAGCAAGACUCAGAAGCCCGCCGUGUACGGAUUGCAAGCCCCCAGCAAGCACCCGCUUGUUGGGAAUGAAGAAGAGACCCCGGCAAGAGCUCCCUGCCCGGGAGAUGGACAGUGCCAAGGCGAGACCCUCCCGCCCAAGAAGAAGGACUGAGCCCCGGUAAGCCAUCCUUGCCGGAAAGAUUGACAAGGCCUCGGCAAGCCAUCACCUCCCUGCCGAGAGCAACAAGAAGAGCCCCCAGCAAGGUAACCCCGCCGGGAAGGAAAAGAAGGCCCAAGGAGAGGCCCGGGCCCAGGGCGCCUUCGCGUCUUGUGAACGCCUCCACCGACAAACACGCCACCGCCAAUGCAUGGACCACGUGUCCACCCGCACGCUAGCUCGACACCCCGAGGUUGCCACGUGUGGGUACGUGUCCAACCGCCCCUGACGAGGUCAACGAAGUUUGUCGAAGCAUUUAAUGCACCGAAGUAACACUGUGGUAGUCGGUGGGCGGUGUUCCACUCGUGAACCCAUCGUUCACCCGCUGAGCCACUUUGGUGACCCCUUCGCCUUUAAAAUGAGUCCCGAGGCUUAGUAGAAAGGACUCUUGGCUUUUUGACGAAUCGAAAGGCUAUAAGAGGGACAACUCUACAGUAAACUAAAACUAUCAGUAGAAUGGAGGAGGGUUUUACGCACAACGCGGCUCGAACCUGGGUAAAAACGACCUUGUCGGGCCUUGACUUUUGGUUCUGCUCUUGCCGCGACCCCUCUCCCCGCCAAACCAGCAAAAGGGACCAUUGUGGUCCCCAUUGGUGUCGAUCCCUUUCCCCGACACCACGAAAUACCUCCCUCUAGGUUGUCCAGACCCAGAUAGCAUAUGAGGCACGAGGUAGUACCCACUUAACAUUUGCAUCCCGUAUGUUUGGCAACAUAAUUAUUCAUCACAAACACUCAUGCAAGUAUGAAUUUAUGUGGGUUUAUUAAUCAGCAUAACCCAAAAUCAUGCAAUCAAUGCACCAUAGAAAACAUCACACAACUUCAUACAAAUCAGAGUUCAAGAUGCUUGCCUUUGGAGUUUGAGGAUGGUGAUGUGUAACCCAAAAUCUUGAAGUAAGUCUCCUCUCUCCAAAUCCUAUUUUAAAAUUAUUUGAAUUAACACGCAAAUCCAAAACAACACAUAAAAUUUGUUUGAAUAUUUUUGAAAUAAAUUUGUAAUUAGACUAGAGGAAAUUUAAGAGAGGUAGGAAAAAUGAUCAAUUGAUUCGGGGUCAUGGUUUAAAGAUUAUAAGUGGUCAAAGAUCAGUCAGACUCCUGUUUUAAAAGAAAACAGAGAAAAUGAAACGCUUCGGGGAUAAUACGUUACUGUAAUCGAAAGCGCACUCGCGACGUAUAUGCCUUGUGUGCGGGGACUUGCUUCCCUGGGGUUAUGCAACCGGCGGCUCGGCUGGUUCAUUAACAGGCGGGGUCCAGCUGUCUGGUUUGUCUCCUUCCUCUCGCACACUGCGACAUAACCAGGGCAGGCUCCGCCGGUGAUUCCCUACGGCACCGACCAGCGUUCCCGGUGUCGACCUAUCUAUGAGCUCAGGAGUAUUGCCCGCAUCGCAUAGAAGGGGUAGACGCGACCGGGGAGCUCCAGGUUGGGCAUGGCUUCGGUCAUGGCGUAUGGCGGCGUCGGGAGAGAAAGGGACCUCAUCAACGGUGGUCCUCUAAAUUGGGAUCGGGGAUGGGUUCCUCAGUGUAGCAGGAGGCUAGAGGAGUCCUUAGGGACGAGUGGCGGCUCUGCACAUAGCCGGAGGUGCCAGCGGGACGGCGGCGGUGCUGCGGCUGGAGGUGGGCAGGGAGAGAGAGCUCUAGUUGAAUUGAAGUGAGGGGAGAGGGUUGCGGGCUGUG
Molecule: long non-coding RNA, 6332 nt
Filed under: Hordeum vulgare
Lineage: Eukaryota; Viridiplantae; Streptophyta; Magnoliopsida; Poales; Poaceae
Description: long non-coding RNA (HVUL_LNC004119)
Source: RNAcentral